CCCCUUUCUUUUCACUCUGAUCUGAAAUUACAACAGGCUGAGUGGAGCGGGAAUGAGCCUGUGUGUUGCUCAAGCUGUGAAGAGCCAAGUUACAGAAGAGGUAGAGGAAAUAUGACAGGGCUCAAACAACGGCUGCUGAAUUAUAAUAUUUCUGAAGGCCCUAAAGUAUGCUCUUUCUUCCCUCACCCCCUUGCCCCUGAGCCAGUCAGGGAUGAGACUGGCAGAGCACUACUACUACAUCCCUUCUGCUUUCUGUCAUAAACCUGGAACACUCUAGCAUGAUUAAAG
RNAcentral lists this long non-coding RNA (288 nucleotides) under Homo sapiens (human). RNAcentral describes it as "non-protein coding lnc-SLC17A6-2:3". Lineage: Eukaryota; Metazoa; Chordata; Mammalia; Primates; Hominidae. The record is from RNAcentral.